This 208-nucleotide long non-coding RNA is filed under the name Elaeis guineensis (African oil palm). RNAcentral describes it as "long non-coding RNA (EGUI_LNC007125)". The record is from RNAcentral. Lineage: Eukaryota; Viridiplantae; Streptophyta; Magnoliopsida; Arecales; Arecaceae.
AUUAAGACCAAUCUUACCAUUUCUUCUACUAUUGGUUGGAUAAUAGACUCUGAUUUUAGUAUAUAUUUGUGCACUUCAAUACAGGAUCUUAAAGAUUGUACAAAGUUGAAGCUAGAAGAGAUGACCCUACGUGUAGGCAAUAAAGCAAGAGUUGCUACUAUGGCCAUAGGGACCUAUCCUCUUCAACUAUCAUUUGAUUUAUGUCUAG